RNAcentral lists this unclassified non-coding RNA (549 nucleotides) under Helotiales sp. 17 CG-2012. RNAcentral's name for it is "sequence contains ITS1, 5.8S rRNA gene, ITS2". The stretch from base 239 to 392 matches the Rfam family "5.8S ribosomal RNA". Lineage: Eukaryota; Fungi; Ascomycota; Leotiomycetes; Helotiales. The record is from RNAcentral.
UACUGAAGAAAUGGUAGAGCUGAGCUGGCUCCUUAGGAGUAUGUGCUCGCUCUAUCGCCUUUUCUACUCUCCACUGUGCACCUCUUGUAGGCUACGAUCUUUCAGCUCGAAAGGGUUGAAUUUCAGAGGGCUUUAGCAGUUCAUUUGCUUGACCUCGACUUCGUAGCCUAUGUCUUACAUACACUCUGUCAAAGUAUAUGAAUGUGUAUUGUUGGUCUUUGACCGAUAAACUAUAUACAACUUUCAGCAACGGAUCUCUUGGCUCUCGCAUCGAUGAAGAACGCAGCGAAAUGCGAUAAGUAAUGUGAAUUGCAGAAUUCAGUGAAUCAUCGAAUCUUUGAACGCACAUUGCGCCCCUUGGUAUUCCGAGGGGCAUGCCUGUUCGAGCGUCAUUACAACCCUCAAGCAUUGCUUGGUAUUAGGCUCCGCUGCUCACCCAGCGGGCCUUAAAAUCAGUGGCGGUGCCGUCGGGCCCUGAGCGUAGUAAAUCUCCUCGCUAUAGGGACCCGGUGGACGCUGGCCAUCAACCCCCCUUACUUUCUAAGUUUG